Molecule: RNA transcript, 1260 nt
Organism: Saimiri boliviensis boliviensis (Bolivian squirrel monkey)
Lineage: Eukaryota; Metazoa; Chordata; Mammalia; Primates; Cebidae
Gene: HUS1
Gene name: HUS1 checkpoint clamp component
Source: RefSeq, a predicted model, not a curated record
ACUGUGCUCGCCGCCCUGUUUCCGGGCGGGGACGCUCGGGGUGGGACGCUUGUCCGUUACGCGUAGACGCUGCUGCACAGCAAUGAAGUUUCGGGCCAAGAUAGUGGACGGGGCCUGUCUGAACCACUUCACCCGAAUCAGUAACAUGAUAGCCAAGCUUGCCAAAACCUGCACCCUCCGCAUCAGCCCUGACAAGCUUAACUUCAUCCUUUGUGACAAGCUGGCUAAUGGAGGGGUGAGCAUGUGGUGUGAGCUGGAACAGGAAAACUUCUUCAGCGAAUUUCAAAUGGAGGGUGUCUCUGCAGAAAACAAUGAGAUUUAUUUAGAGCUAACAUCGGAAAACUUAUCACGAGCCUUGAAAACUGCCCAGAAUGCCAGAGCCUUGAAAAUCAAACUGACUAAUAAACACUUUCCCUGUCUCACAGUCUCCGUGGAGCUGUCUUCUAUGUCAAACAGUAGCCGCAUCGCGACACACGACAUCCCCAUAAAGGUUAUUCCUAGGAAAUUGUGGAAGGAGUUACAAGAACCGAUGGUCCCAGAUCCUGAUGUUAGUAUUUAUUUACCAGUCUUGAAGACUAUGAAGAGUGUUGUGGAAAAAAUGAAAAACAUCAGCAGUCACCUUGUGAUUGAAGCAAACCUAGAUGGAGAAUUGAAUUUGAAAAUAGAAACGGAAUUAGUAUGUGUUACAACUCAUUUUAAAGAUCUUGGAAAUCCUCCAUUAGCCUCUGAAAGCACCUCUCAAGACAGAAACCCAGAACACAUGGCUGAAGUGCACAUAGAUAUUAGGAAGCUCCUACAGUUUCUUGCUGGACAACAAGUAAAUCCCACAAAGGCCUUAUGCAAUAUUGUGACUAACAAGAUGGUGCAUUUCGAUCUGCUUCAUGAGGACGUCUCCCUUCAGUAUUUCAUCCCCGCGCUGUCCUAGCACCCUGUGGUUGGAGUUGGCAUGCAGAGACUUUGUCAGGAUGGGAGAGGCCGUAGACGUUGUGUUCUCACCACUGUGCAUUGGAUAUGUCAUUCUGGAAAGAAGAUCCUUCUACUUAGAGUAGAAACAAACGAAACUUACAAGGUAUCAUCUGUGUUAAGUGAUGAGACCAUACUUCUUUGAUGUUUCUGAAUAUCAAAGCUGAUUCAGUACUGGUAGAUAUGUCCAUUCUCCCAGAAACAUAUCCAUCAUAUUUCCUGUUAUAAUUACAUCUCAUUGUCCUGUGGAGGUGGACAUGAUAAACAUCUUUUGUUUUCUUGCUUUGUUUUGUUUGA